UACGGGGGGAGCAAGCGUUGUUCGGAUUUACUGGGCGUAAAGGGCGCGUAGGCGGCGCAACAAGUCACUUGUGAAAUCUCCGGGCUUAACCCGGAGCGGCCAAGUGAUACUGUCGUGCUAGAGUGCGGAAGGGGCUACUGGAAUUCCUGGUGUAGCGGUGAAAUGCGCAGAUAUCAGGAGGAACACCGGUGGCGAAGGCGGGUCUCUGGGCCGUAACUGACGCUGAGGAGCGAAAGCAUGGGGAGCGAACAGG
This 253-nucleotide ribosomal RNA is filed under the name uncultured bacterium. RNAcentral describes it as "partial 16S ribosomal RNA". It matches the Rfam family "Bacterial small subunit ribosomal RNA", at positions 524 to 776 of the family's 1533-position model. The record is from RNAcentral.